UCGGAUAGUGGCGCAAUCGGUAGACGCCCGCGCCUUAAAAGCGACGAGUCCGGAAGGAAUGCGAGUUCGACCCUCGCCGCACGCACCA
RNAcentral lists this transfer RNA (88 nucleotides) under Candidatus Burkholderia crenata. RNAcentral's name for it is "tRNA-Pseudo-TAA". Lineage: Bacteria; Pseudomonadati; Pseudomonadota; Betaproteobacteria; Burkholderiales; Burkholderiaceae. The record is from RNAcentral.